CCCUUAGAUGUCCUGGGUCGCACGCGCGCUACACUGAUGCAUUCAACGAGUUUUACCUUGGCCGAGAGGCCUGGGCAAUCUUUUAAACCUGCAUCGUGAUAGGGAUAGAUUAUUGCAAUUAUUAAUCUUGAACGAGGAAUUCCUAGUAAACGCAAAUCAUCAAUUUGCAUUGAUUACGUCCCUGCCCUUUGUACACACCGCCCGUCGCACCUACCGAUUGAAUGGUCCGGUGAAGCCUCGGGAUUGUGGCCAGUUCACUUUAUUGGGAGUUGGCUGUGAGAACUUGUCUAAACCUUAUCAUUUAGAGGAAGGUGAAGUCGUAACA
Molecule: ribosomal RNA, 325 nt
Filed under: uncultured eukaryote
Lineage: Eukaryota
Description: partial 18S ribosomal RNA
Rfam family: Eukaryotic small subunit ribosomal RNA
Source: RNAcentral